UUCCGGUUGAUCCCGCCGGACCCGACUGCUAUUUGGGUGAGGAUAAGCCAUGCGAGUUGAAUGGGAUACCUAAAUUUCCCAUGGCAAACUGCUCAGUAACACAUGAUCAACUUACCCUAUAGAGAAAAAUAACCUCGGGAAACUGAGGAUAAUAUUUCAUAGUUGAAUAGGCUUGGAAAAGUUUUUCAAUAAAAGGGAUAAAAAAAAUGGUUUUUAUCUGCUAUAGGAUAGGAUCGUGGACGAUUAUGGUUGUUGGUGAGGUAACGGCUCACCAAGCCGAUAAUCGAUAGGGGCCGUGAGAGCGGGAGCCCCGAGAUGGGUACUGAGACAACGACCCAGGCCUUACGAGGCGCAGCAGGCGCGAAACCUCCGCAAUACACGAAAGUGUGACGGGGUUACCCAAAGUGUUCAAUUCUGAACUGUGGUAGGUGAGUAAUGUUCCCUACUAGAAAGGAGAGGGCAAGGCUGGUGCCAGCCGCCGCGGUAAAACCAGCUCUUCAAGUGGUCGGGAUAAUUAUUGGGCUUAAAGUGUCCGUAGCCGGUUUAGUAAGUUCCUGGUAAAAUCGGGUAGCUUAACUAUCUGUAUGCUAGGAAUACUGCUAUACUAGAGGGCGGGAGAGGUCUGAGGUACUACAGGGGUAGGGGUGAAAUCUUAUAAUCCUUGUAGGACCACCAGUGGCGAAGGCGUCAGACUGGAACGCGCCUGACGGUGAGGGACGAAAGCCAGGGGAGCGAACCGGAUUAGAUACCCGGGUAGUCCUGGCCGUAAACGAUGCAUACUAGGUGAUGGUACGGCCAUGAGCCAUAUCAGUGCCGUAGGGAAACCGUUAAGUGUGCCGCCUGGGAAGUACGGUCGCAAGGCUAAAACUUAAAGGAAUUGGCGGGGGAGCACCACAAGGGGUGAAGCCUGCGGUUCAAUUGGAUUCAACGCCGGGAAAUCACUAGUGCGGGCCGCCUGCAGGUCGACCAUAUGGGAGAGCUCCCAACGCGUUGGGAUGCAUAGCUUGAGUAUUCUAUAGUGUCACCUAAAUAGCUUG
This 1037-nucleotide ribosomal RNA is filed under the name uncultured archaeon. RNAcentral's name for it is "bacterial SSU rRNA". It matches the Rfam family "Archaeal small subunit ribosomal RNA", at positions 1 to 1046 of the family's 1478-position model. The record is from RNAcentral.